Molecule: unclassified non-coding RNA, 270 nt
Filed under: Hevea brasiliensis (rubber tree)
Lineage: Eukaryota; Viridiplantae; Streptophyta; Magnoliopsida; Malpighiales; Euphorbiaceae
Source: RNAcentral
AGGAUCUGCCAAUGCUUUUGCCUGCAUAAAGGUCCAAAAGGUUGAUAAAAAUAGAACAGUAAAAAAGCAGACACUGUUUCUUACCAUUUAUGUUUGAAAUGACCCUAAAAAGGAACCAAAAAUCACUUCAAUACACUUGACUUAGAAGUUUCAAAUCGUAAGAUCAGCCAUGAACUUAGAAAAGCCAACUCAGAAAAGCCUUAAAUUACAAAUUUAGAUUCCCAGCUACAAAUUCAACUAAGCUUUUAGUCCUAAAGCAUCUGGGACAUA